AGAGCAGACUUUUUCUUUGCUCAAAGUCUAAGCAUUGAAGAACUUCUUUUUAGUAGGUAGAUUUUUGUGUUUUUUUGUUUGUUUUUGAGACGGAGUCUCACUCUGUCGCCCAGGCUGUGGUGCAGUGGCACGAUCUCGGCCCACUGCAAGCUCUGCCUCCCGGGUUCACACCAUUCUCCUGCCUCAGCCUCCCAAGUAGCUGGGACUACAGGUGCCAGCCACCACGCCUGGCUAAUUUUUUUGCAUUUUUUAGUAGAGAUGGGGUUUCAUCGUGUUAGCCAGGAUGGUCUUGAUCUCCUGACCUCAUGAUCCACCCGCCUUGGCCUGCCAGAGUGCUGGAAUUACAGGCGUGAUUUAGUAGGUAGUUUUGAGUAGGGAGUAUACAUUUAAAAUGCUGAAACUCAGUUAAGGAAUAAUCUAAUACUGUAUUCAACUGAAACUCAGUUGAGAAAUUUCUUUCCAAUAAUAAAGGAAAAUCAACUGCAGUAAUGAGGGAGAUGAUUUUGCUGCUAAUUACAACAAAUAUUUACUACAGACCUGUUAUGCACCAGGAACUGUGCUAAAUGUUUUAUACAUAUAACUUUAUCUUGUGCUCCAACAACUUAUUACAUAGAAAUUGCUAUUAUUCCCAUUUUCUAGAUUAAUAAAUUGGUUUAGAGGGGUCGUAUAGGUGAAACAACUCACUCAAUAUCACAAGCUGUUAUGUGGUGAAGUUUGCAUGAUCAGUACAGGGUUCUGGUCAUCCCACUCAUUGAGUGGUGCUAGUCAAGAUCUGGAAGCUCUUCUGGUCUUAGUUUCUCUAGCCGUGAAGUGACAAUGAUUAGGUCUAAUCAUAGAACAUGAGAGUACAUGUGAAAAAAUGCCUUUUUAAAGAGUAUGAAAAACUUGAGUUGUAAAAUUUUCUUGUGGAUAAUUUAUUAUUGCUUUUCUUUUUUAGAUAACACUAACAAAGUUGACCUUAGAAUUGGAGUGCCUGGGUUAGAACCCUGCUGGUACCACCUGCUUACUGCAUGCUUCUGAUGUGAGUUCAGGAGAAGACACUGGCAAGGACAGCAAAGAACAGGAGAACACUCUAGCUUCCCUGAUAGCAUUCAAGGUGCUGUCCAAACUGACUGUGAUGGCACCCUCCAGACAGACAGCGAUGCCACAUGUUCAAGAUGGCAGAAUCACUAUCAGCUUCAAUUCCUGAAUGACUGCAGAGCAAAAUUUCUUACCUGCAACAUACACUCUAUUUUCAGCCUCCCUGGACUGUUACAUAAUGAUACAUAAAAAUAUUUCUUGUGUUGAGGCAUCCCAAAUUUGAUUUAUUUGUCAUCACAGUCUAUCCUAUGAAUAUAUUUCUGAUCCAAAUAAUGCUAGAUUCAUGAGAGUUUAUAGUCCAGAGAUUUUUUUUUUUUUUUUGAGACAGAAUCUGUCUCCCAGGCUGGGGUGCAGUGGCAUAAUCUUAGCUCACUGCAACCUCUGCCUCCCGGGCUCAAGUGAUCCUCCCUCCUUAGCCUCCAUGAGUAGCUGGGACCACAGGUGUGCACCACCACACCCCGCUAAUUAUUUUGUAUUUUUUGCAGAGGGGGGUUUCACCACAUUGCCCAAGCUGGUCUCAAACUCCUAGACUUAAGGGAUCUGCCUGCCUUGGCCUCCCAAAAUGCUGAAAUUACACUUGUUAGCCAUAGUAAUAGUUCCUAGCCAUAGUCCGGAGAUAUUUUAAAAACUUUAGUGUGAGUUAUUUCUCUUUGCUAUAAUUCUCUCAUGCAUUUUGAAAACCUUUUCUGCCAUACAGUGGUUUUUGGGAAGUCCUUUUGGACAGACAUAUCACAGGAUGGAGAAACUAAAAA
RNAcentral lists this long non-coding RNA (1832 nucleotides) under Homo sapiens (human). Its description in RNAcentral is "non-protein coding lnc-FAM84B-15:92". Lineage: Eukaryota; Metazoa; Chordata; Mammalia; Primates; Hominidae. The record is from RNAcentral.